AUGGUGGGCGUUGUCCAGUUGUCCGUACGAAUCCAGAUUUCCCCUCCCUGCUACAUCUCUCCUUCCACCGAGACUGUCUUCUUAUUGCUGUUUUUUCUUUUUACUACCAAAUUGAUGCAGAUGCUAUUAGUGAAAGGAUUGGAGACUGGGUCUAGUAGUGGUAGGUUUUUUGAGAAAUUCCAAGUGCUCGGGAAUUGCAAAUUGUUUCAGCCAGGGGGUAAUUGCACUCAACAUGGAGGAUGGUACCCUUCAUCGUUUCCUUUCAACAAAUGCUAUUUUAGCAACAGGACUCAACAUGGUUAUGGCAGAGGUUACUUCUCUGCUAUUUCACCUCACACAUGUACUAGUGAUGACAAUGCUAUGGUUGCACGUGCUGGGUUACCCCUUCAGGAUCUUGAGUUUGUGCAGUUCCAUCCUACAGGCAUUUACGGUGCUGGAUGCCUUAUAACCGAAGGUUCCCGGGGCGAAGGUGGUAUUCUUAGGAACAGCAAAGCUGAGAGGUUCAUGGAAUGA
RNAcentral lists this ribosomal RNA (513 nucleotides) under Triticum aestivum (bread wheat). RNAcentral describes it as "partial small subunit ribosomal RNA". Lineage: Eukaryota; Viridiplantae; Streptophyta; Magnoliopsida; Poales; Poaceae. The record is from RNAcentral.